Molecule: long non-coding RNA, 2722 nt
Filed under: Scophthalmus maximus (turbot)
Lineage: Eukaryota; Metazoa; Chordata; Actinopteri; Pleuronectiformes; Scophthalmidae
Description: lncRNA (ENSSMAG00000028625.1)
Source: RNAcentral
ACAGUUGUCUGUGGUGUGUGAUUGUAAUUCUUUAGGUUCCCAUGUUUGUGUGUGUGUAUGUGUGUGUGCAUAUGUGUGACCCCCAGCGUCCGUCAUUGACGCUGACACCAUGUUCUAUGAGUCAACCCAACACACUGUCCCAGUGAGGAAAGGCAAAAUGUCUGACAUACCGGAAGAGCCUGAGGACAUGAGUGACAGCUCCCACCCCUCCAUCGUUCCUCUAAAGGAUGCUCCACCAAUCACAGAAGUUGAAACCUGCAACCCCGGCCCCAACCACUUCACCGUCCACUACACCAGGUUGUCCAGGUAACUUUAGUUGAGAUGAAACCAUGAACAUUUCAGGAAAGGGCUGUCGAAGCUUCAGGUGAUGAACACGGGUUGGGAAAACGACACACACAUCCAGAUUCACACCAUCUUCCACCAUCUCUGUCAAUUUCUCUCCUCUUAACUACAUCCCCCUUUCUAACUGUUUCACCUUCCAUCUCCUGUUUUUUUUCAUUCUGCAACAUUUUGUCAUUUUUCCAUCCCCCGUCUGCUCACAUUUGUUCCCGACAGAUCUGCUGACAUCGGCAGCAAUCUACGGUUUCACAUCUUGCAAAAUUUUAUUUUACUGCUACACUGGCCUCUUCAUCCCCUCUCCCUCUCUCACUCUUCUUUUCAUCAUCCGCUGUCAUCACCCUCUCGUUGGUCGGCCUCACGCCUCCUCUCCUUACGCCUCCGUCUGUUUACGAGACUCCAAUAAAACCGGGGUCCCUGUUUUGACUCACAAAAUAAUAUCUCUGUUUAUGCUAUAAUCUGAGUCAGAUGUCCGGAUGAACUCAUGUGGUUUCUGUUCAUUGUUGAUGUUGAUUCAGUGCAGACCAGGUGCAGGUCCACAGCCUGCCACGAGGUGGCGAUAGAAAACCAAAGGACUCCCCCAAAGUUGUUUACGCCUUACUGCCCCAGCCCGGCCCCUGAACUGAAGGAUACAGCUGCUGAACAAGACAUAAUCCGUCCUCCUGUGAACCAGUCACUUUGCUUCCAUCUGUGCAGAGACGGCUGUGGAAACCACAGACGGCUCCUUGUGAACUGUAGAUGACUUAUGCUGUUCUGGGUCAGACGUGUUGUUACGGGAUUCUCCACGGUUCUUCAGACCCUGAGGGCAACUCGAGGCCGGGGGUCCUGCCACUGUGUUGCAUGUCUUUUCUUCGUUUUUGUUUUGUUUGUUUUUUUUUGGGGGGGGAGGAGGGGUUCUCUGCUAUGAAUCUUACCACAAUAUUCUGUCUGAUGAAGUGAAAGUGUUCAAAAGCAGAAACAAGGAAUACUUUAUUGAUUCCCAGGGAGAAUGUGGUUUUGUUACAGUUGCUCCAAACAAAAAUAUGAACAUAUACAGACCCUAAAAUUAUAAUAAAUAGAAAUAUAGUAUAUAAAUAUGAAGUAUGUCAAAUUAUGUGCAUUAUCCUACAAUAUAUAUAUAUAUACACACAACAGCUUGUGGUAAUUGCUAUGCAAAUAUUAACAAGAAAUAACAAUAAACCGGUGUAGAUAAACAGUAAUAGGUCUGUAAGGGGCUAUUGACUCAGAGUGUCUGACAGUCUGAGGGAGGAGUCUGAUGACCACAGGCAUGUGGCGCAAGGUGGCGCCUAUCAGUGGAAUACUGUAAGUCUCUUGCUUACUGUACUCCUGUGCUUAGCCAGCAUGUCCUGGAGUGAGUGGGAGACAUUGUCCAAAGAUAGCCUGUGACUUGGACGGCAUGUUGAAUCCGUCGGUGUCUGCUACCCUCAACCCCCCGCUUCCCCAUAGCACAUAACAGCCAUGUGGCCCACCACAGACUCAUCAUCGUCCGGCAGAUGUUGAAGGAUCUCAGCCUCCACAGAAAAUUAGGGACCGCUCUGGCCCUUCUUGUAGACGGCUUCGGUGAUCUUGGUCCACAGAGGCCCCCCCUGGAUGGAGACAGGGCUCGCCAGGUCCUUGGUUUCUCCUCCGAAUCCACAACCCAGCUCCCUGUGUCACAUUGAGCUGCCGAUGGUUCCGCUCACACUGUAACAAGCUGCAUGCGCGGUCAAUGCAUGAAAGGAAAGGCUAAAUAGGGAGCAUCAACACCAAUAGCCAUUUUACCUGCAUUCAUAUCCAUAUUUAAAUAAUGCUUCACACUAACAUUUGCUCUCAAGAAUAUGUAGAUGGCACAAUGUGCGUUAACCUUUGCAACCUCCGACUACUGGAAAGUGAUAAUCUUUUGUAUUCAAACAUCAUUGUCCCCAAUAAAAGUGACAGGGUGUUAUUGAACACAAUAGCGGAGAAAAGCAGACGUCAACAAAGAAUAUGCAAUAUUUGACAUGAGUUUCCCCACUGUAUUCUACAAUGUUCCACGUAGGCUUGUUCUGAACGCCAAUGCUGCAACACUUAUUCAGUUUACACAGCUCGCUUUCAUUAAAUCAGUCGUUCCAUUUUUACUGUACGUAGUGUACGCUACGCCGGGAACGCUUCAAAAUUACACAUUGUAGUUUGUUACCCUAAAGCAAAAUAAAAGAAAAUGUCACAACUUGAAUGUGUGUUGUAGUUUUUCUGCGGGUCCCAAACAGUUAACACUGAGGACAGAUUAGUGAUGCGUUAAGUGUGGGGGGACUGUCAGCAGAAUAGUUAAGGGGAAACAGUGUUUGCGCUUCAGUGCAUUUUAUUUUGAAUUUCCUAUGAGAGCAGAACAAAAUGUUUCAGUCCCCCUCCCCCCUCCAAACCUCGAAAG